GUCUAGGGCCACUUCACUCUGAAUGCUCUCGAUAUCUUCUGAUCUCGGAAGCUAAGCAGGGUCGGGCCUGGAUAGUCCUUGGAUAGGAGAAGUGUGGCUACUACAUAAUAGGUGCUCAAAAUG
Cercocebus atys (sooty mangabey) is the source of this 123-nucleotide ribosomal RNA. Lineage: Eukaryota; Metazoa; Chordata; Mammalia; Primates; Cercopithecidae. The record is from Ensembl.